GAAAAUUUCUCUCACCCACGUUUCCCAUGAUCUGCAUCAUUAUUAUAGCUUAACUCAUUGUUUCUCUCAUGUAAGUGUCUAACUUAUGCCACUUAAUCCUAAUUACGUUUAUAUAUAUGAUUUGCCUGCCAUUUCUUUCUCUGAUCAUCAAUGAACCUGAUGCGAACUAAUCCACAUAAAACCCAAAUGAAUGGCUAUCCCCUAUUUCUUUCCUCUGCUCUCUAUCAUCUCGUUUCUUCCUUAAACCUAUAAGCAACUUCUUUCUACAAUUCUUGGUUCACACUUUCUUUUGCAUAAGAAUAUGCCAAGACCAUUAAUCAAUUCCUAGCAUCUACUUCUCCUAUAUUUCAUUAGGGUUAUGGCACGUGAUGCUUCAUAUUUAGCGGUCGCAUAGUCGAAACGGACUCUGUUGUGAGAGAUAUUGCAUGAGUACUACAGCUUUAAAUUUUAGGCUUAAUUAGAGUUUUGUGCUUGGAAGGAAAGCGGCUAAGGUAAGGGCUUUUUCCCCAUACACUCGUGCACUUAAGGUUUAUGUUAUAGAUUGAUAAUGGAGUAUUUAACCGAUAGAAAGAGAUGGAAAUAGAAGGAAUGACAAAGACUUAUUUUUAUAACAUUUUAUGCUAUGUUAAUAUAUGAAGUACUUAUGUGUGGCUGAUUGUAUAUUUAAUUUUAUGAUUUUGUGUGUGUUGAUUGUCAAUUUGAGUAUUCUGUCAGUUUCGAUAAAUGGUGAAUUUAUCAGGUUUAAAAUAAAGUUUUACACUUUCAAUUGAUUUAACCAAAUGGUGCUGGUUUUAAAAGGUGUCUAUAGUAUGCAUAGCAUGGCAUAUAGUUGUUGUUAUAGGUUUGGUGUGGUUCGGAACAAUACCCAACGGUGGGGUACCGAACCUUAAUACCCAACGGUGGGGUAUUGUGUCCAACGGUGGGACACUGUCCAAUGGUGGGACACUUUAUUUUGCUCUGCGGAGAGGUGAUAUCCGGAUCAUGGUUUAGAUGCAUUUCAUGCAUUAUUAACUGGUAUAGAGUGUUAUUAAGAAUAGUUUCUGGUAUUGACUUUAUUUUAUUUCUUCUUUAUGGCCGAGUAUUUUAUUGUUACUUUAUGACAUUUACCUUCCGUUCGGCAUGAUUCAAUUUGGAUAAGGAAAUUGACCCUUGCAUUAAAUAUGGUUGUAGGUACCAAAGAAAAAUGAAGUUGAUGUGUUGCUUGUACAUGCGUGGGGAUAAAUCGAAGGGUUUUUAUUAGAGUAUAAUUGUAAAUUUAAAUAAGGCUUCUUCACAAUUGUAUAGCUACUUUGUUGUAAAUUUAACAUAUUUUGAAAUUGACAACUUGUAGUAUUCUGGACUUAAUAAGUCUUUUUAAAUUUUUACAAUAAUUAGAUAACUAUAUAUCUUGAUAUUUUGAGAAAAUAAUUAUGAUGACUUGUUUUCAAAUCAAUUAUAAAACUAAAAAGGAAAACAGUGUAGUGUUUUUCAAUUAAGUGAAAGAAU
Molecule: long non-coding RNA, 1485 nt
Filed under: Trifolium pratense (red clover)
Lineage: Eukaryota; Viridiplantae; Streptophyta; Magnoliopsida; Fabales; Fabaceae
Description: long non-coding RNA (TPRA_LNC012413)
Source: RNAcentral